UACGUAGGGGGCUAGCGUUGUCCGGAUUUAUUGGGCGUAAAGAGCGUGUAGGCGGCCAGAUAGGUCUGCUGUGAAAACUCGAGGCUCAACCUCGAGAUGUCGGCGGAAACCAUUUGGCUAGAGUCCGGAAGAGGAAAGUGGAAUUCCCGGUGUAGAGGUGAAAUUCGUAGAUAUCGGGAGGAACACCGGUGGCGAAGGCGGCGAUCUGGGUAGAUACUGACGCUGAGGUGCGAAAGCGUGGGGAGCAAACAGG
Molecule: ribosomal RNA, 253 nt
Filed under: uncultured bacterium
Lineage: Bacteria
Description: partial 16S ribosomal RNA
Rfam family: Bacterial small subunit ribosomal RNA
Source: RNAcentral